This 417-nucleotide ribosomal RNA is filed under the name Triticum aestivum (bread wheat). RNAcentral's name for it is "partial small subunit ribosomal RNA". The record is from RNAcentral. Lineage: Eukaryota; Viridiplantae; Streptophyta; Magnoliopsida; Poales; Poaceae.
AUGCUCGCCAAAAAGGGUUGGCCGCACGACCCUGCCUGCGCUCUUUGUGCUGGGCCGAUGGAAGACGCCGCCCACCUUCUCGCCUCCUGCCCGUUCUCCGUCCAGAUCUGGCAGGGGGUUUUGCGAAGAUGCAACCUGUCGCUCGGCCUUGCCCCCUCUGCCACCACCACCUCUCUGAUGAUUUGGUCAGACCACUCCUAUGGCAUGUUCCCAGCAAAGGAGAGGAAAGCUUGGAGCUCCCUGGUUCAGCUCGUAUGGUGGAACUUAUGGAUCGAACGGAACGCAAGGAUUUUCAGGAACCAACGCUCUCCUGCCGUGGCUCUGAUCGCCAAGAUCGUAGAGGAGGCAGCCGUUUGGAGUAGGGCAGGCGGAUGGAGGGUCAACUCACUGCUAGAUAGACCUAGGCAACCAGACUAG